This 2498-nucleotide ribosomal RNA is filed under the name human gut metagenome. Its description in RNAcentral is "bacterial LSU rRNA". It matches the Rfam family "Bacterial large subunit ribosomal RNA", at positions 544 to 2925 of the family's 2925-position model. The record is from RNAcentral.
CAGUCUCUGAAACCGUGCGCCUACAAUCCGUCGGAGCCCUUUUGUGGGGUGACGGCGUGCCUAUCGAAAAAUGAGUCUGCGAGUCAGUGGCAUGUGGCGAGCAUAACCCGUGUGGGGUAUGCGUAGCGAAGGCGAGUCUUAAAAGGCGUUUGAGUCGCGUGUCCUGGACCCGAAGCGGGAUGAUCUAGCCCUGAGCAGGUUGAAGCGCGGGUAAGACCGCGUGGAGGACCGAACCCACCUGGGUUGAAAACCGGGGGGAUGACUUGGGGCUAGGGGUGAAAGGCCAAUCAAAUUCCGUGAUAGCUGGUUCUCUCCGAAAUGCAUUUGGGUGCAGCGUCGGGUCAUUACGUCCCGGGGGUAGAGCUACUGGAUGCUUGCGGGCCCGUAUCGGGUACCAACAGCAACCAAACUCCGAAUACCGGUGACGCGUAUCCCGGCAGUGAGUCGGCGGGGGAUAAGCUUCGUCGUCGAAAGGGAAACAGCCCAGACCGUCGUCUAAGGUCCCGAAGCGUGUGCUAAGUGGGAAAGGAUGUGGAGUCGCAUAGACAGCCAGGAGGUUGGCUCAGAAGCAGCCACCCUUGAAAGAGUGCGUAACAGCUCACUGGUCUAGUGGUUCCGCGCCGACAAUGUAGCGGGGCUCAAGCACACCACCGAAGACGCGGCAGUAUUUUGUACUGGGUAGGAGAGCGUCCCAUGAGGGGCGAAGCGGCCGUGUGAACGCGCCGUGGACUUCAUGGGAGUGAGAAUGCAGACAUGAGUAGCGAGAGACGGGUGAAGAUCCCGUCCGCUGGAUGACCAAGGGUUCCAGGGCCACGUUCAUCGUCCCUGGGUGAGUCGGGUCCUAAGGCGAGGCCGACAGGCGUAGUCGAAUGGAUGAACGGGUCGAUAUUCCCGUACCGGCUUUCAGCCGCCAAAACCGAGGCUUGGAGUACUAACCUCCGGGUCCGGGCUUACUGCUCCUUCGGGGGCGGGAUGCCCUGGCCUGUUGGGACCGAUCCUUGUAGUAGGUCAGCGCAGGAGUGACGCAGAAGGGUAGCCGGCCGCGGAGGUGGUCUUCCGUGGUCAAGCACGCAGGGCGUGGGACAGGCAAAUCCGUCCCGCAUGGGUCCGAGGUGCGAUGAUGGGGGCCUUAUGGCCCGAUAUCCGGUGAUCCCGGCUGCCGAGAAAAGCUUCGGCGUCAGGCUCAAAGCCGCCCGUACCCCAAACCGACACUGGUGGUCAGGUAGAGAAUACCAAAGCGAUCGAGCGAAUCCUGGUCAAGGAACUCGGCAAAUCACUCCCGUUCCUUCGGUUUAAGGGAGACCCCCGAUGGUGAACACACUUGCUGUGGGAGCUUUUGGGGGUGGCACAGACCAGGGGGUAGCGACUGUUUACCAAAAACACAGGUGCAUGCGAAGGCGCAAGCCGCUGUAUAUGCACUGACGCCUGCCCGGUGCCGGAAGGUUAAGAGGAUCCGUCAGCCUUCGGGUGAAGCGGUGAAUUCAAGCCCCGGUAAACGGCGGUGGUAACUAUAACCAUCCUAAGGUAGCGAAAUUCCUUGUCGGGUAAGUUCCGACCUGCACGAAUGGCGUAACGACUUCCCCACUGUCUCGACCAGGAGCUCGGCGAAAUUGCAGUACGAGUAAAGAUGCUCGUUAAGCGCAGAAGGACGAAAAGACCCCGGGACCUUUACUAUACCUUGGUAUUGGCAUUCGGUGUGGAUUGUGUAGCAUAGGCGGGAGGCCGAGAGGCGCGGUCGCCAGAUCGCGCGGAGCCGUAAGGUGAAAUACCGCUCUGUUCGCAUUGGAUGUCUAACCUCGAACAGUCAUCCUGUUCAGGGACAGUGCCUGGCGGGUAGUUUAACUGGGGCGGUUGCCUCCCAAAGAGUAACGGAGGCGCCCAAAGGUCCGCUCAGCCCGGUUGGCAAUCGGGUGGCGAGUGCAAGUGCACAAGCGGGCUUGACUGCGAGGACGACGGUCCGAGCAGGGACGAAAGUCGGGACUAGUGAUCCGGUGCCGGUGUACGGACGCGGCAUCGCUCAACGGAUAAAAGGUACCCCGGGGAUAACAGGCUGAUCAUUCCCAAGAGUCCAUAUCGACGGGAUGGUUUGGCACCUCGAUGUCGGCUCGUCGCAUCCUGGGGCUGGAGCAGGUCCCAAGGGUUCGGCUGUUCGCCGAUUAAAGCGGCACGCGAGCUGGGUUCAGAACGUCGUGAGACAGUUUGGUCUCUAUCCUCUGCGCUCGUUGGAAUGCUGAGGAGGCCUGCCCAUAGUACGAGAGGACCUGGGUGGACGAACCUCUGGUAUGCCGGUUGUCACGCCAGUGGCACGGCCGGUUGGCUACGUUCGGAAGGGAUAACCGCUGAAAGCAUCUAAGCGGGAAGCCUGCUCCAAGAUAAGCAUUCCGUGGAACCUUCGAGUUCCUGUAGUCCCCAUGCAGAACACGUGGUUGAUAGGCCGGACGUGGAAGCCCCGCGAGGGGUGGAGCCGACCGGUACUAACGGACGAAAGGCAACACUAA